This 360-nucleotide ribosomal RNA is filed under the name uncultured bacterium. RNAcentral describes it as "bacterial SSU rRNA". It matches the Rfam family "Bacterial small subunit ribosomal RNA", at positions 137 to 507 of the family's 1533-position model. The record is from RNAcentral.
AGGGAAACAACAGUUAAGAAAUGACUGCUAAUACCGCAUAUGCCUAAGCAACACAUGUUGCAAUAGGGAAAGGAGCAAUCCGCUGAUAGAUGAGCUUGCGUCUGAUUAGGUAGUUGGUGGGUAACGGCCUACCAAGCCGACGAUCGGUAGCCGGACUGAGAGGUUGAACGGCCACAGUUGGGACUGAGACACCGGCCCAGACUCCGUACGGGAGGCAGCAGGUGGGGAAUAUUGCACAAGUGGGGAAACCCUGAUGCAGCAACGCCGCGUGAGGGAAGACGGUUUUCGGAUUGUAAACCUCUGUCCUCUGUGAAGAAGAAAGUGACGGUAGCAGAGGAGGAAGCCACGGCUAACUACGUG